RNAcentral lists this long non-coding RNA (468 nucleotides) under Ananas comosus (pineapple). Its description in RNAcentral is "long non-coding RNA (ACOM_LNC024564)". Lineage: Eukaryota; Viridiplantae; Streptophyta; Magnoliopsida; Poales; Bromeliaceae. The record is from RNAcentral.
UUUAAUGAAAUGGCGGUCGGAUUCACCUUAGUUGUAUAUUCCAAGGUGGAGAUGUGACCAAACCCCAAGUAUAUGUAUUGAGGUAGAUCGGAUUUGAUAUUACCCGAAAGUAGAGAGUGGCUAAUUCCUGAGUGUAUGAAUCAGGAUUAACCGAGUUUAAUAUGUUUUCACUCUAGUUAUAUGUGCUAGGGUGAAGAUCUGACUAAGCCCUAAGGUAUUGCGUUAGGGUUUGUCGGAUUUGAUUCGUAUGAGCUCCAAGUAUAUGUAUUAGAGCUCGAUCGGGUAUGGAUUUCACUCUAGGUAUAUGUGCUAGAGCAAACGGCUGACUAGACCCUAAGUAUAUGGGUUAGGACUAGUCGAGCACGGAUUGACUUUCACUCUAGGUAUAUGUGCUAGAGCAAAAGGCUGACUAGACCCUAAGCAUAUGUGUUAGGACAAGUCGAGUAUGGUUUGACUUCCACUCUAAAU